GGUGACAGCCCCGUACACAAAAGCGCAUGUGCUGUGAGCUCGAUGAGUAGGGCGGGACACGUGGUAUCCUGUCUGAAUAUGGGGGGACCAUCCUCCAAGGCUAAAUACUCCUGACUGACCGAUAGUGAACCAGUACCGUGAGGGAAAGGCGAAAAGAACCCCGGCGAGGGGAGUGAAAAAGAACCUGAAACCGUGUACGUACAAGCAGUGGGAGCCCCACCACCAAAGCAUUCUCUGGUGUUGAAGGCCCUGCAAAGCAGCAUCGCGGUGGCGGAGCGUCGUUUGCGACGCCCAACACACAAAACAAGCGGUGAGUGCUUUGGGGUGGGGUGACUGCGUACCUUUUGUAUAAUGGGUCAGCGACUUAUAUUCUGUAGCAAGGUUAACCGUAUAGGGGAGCCGUAGGGAAACCGAGUCUUAACCGGGCGUUAAGUUGCAGGGUAUAGACCCGAAACCCGGUGAUCUAGCCAUGGGCAGGUUGAAGGUUGGGUAACACUAACUGGAGGACCGAACCGACUAAUGUUGAAAAAUUAGCGGAUGACUUGUGGCUGGGGGUGAAAGGCCAAUCAAACCGGGAGAUAGCUGGUUCUCCCCGAAAGCUAUUUAGGUAGCGCCUCGUGAAUUCAUCUUCGGGGGUAGAGCACUGUUUCGGCUAGGGGGUCAUCCCGACUUACCAACCCGAUGCAAACUGCGAAUACCGGAGAAUGUUAUCACGGGAGACACACGGCGGGUGCUAACGUCCGUCGUGAAGAGGGAAACAACCCAGACCGCCAGCUAAGGUCCCAAAGUCAUGGUUAAGUGGGAAACGAUGUGGGAAGGCCCAGACAGCCAGGAUGUUGGCUUAGAAGCAGCCAUCAUUUAAAGAAAGCGUAAUAGCUCACUGGUCGAGUCGGCCUGCGCGGAAGAUGUAACGGGGCUAAACCAUGCACCGAAGCUGCGGCAGCGACACUGUGUGUUGUUGGGUAGGGGAGCGUUCUGUAAGCCUGUGAAGGUGUGUCGUGAGGCAUGCUGGAGGUAUCAGAAGUGCGAAUGCUGACAUAAGUAACGAUAAAGCGGGUGAAAAGCCCGCUCGCCGGAAGACCAAGGGUUCCUGUCCAACGUUAAUCGGGGCAGGGUGAGUCGACCCCUAAGGCGAGGCCGAAAGGCGUAGUCGAUGGGAAACGGGUUAAUAUUCCCGUACUUGGUGUUACUGCGAAGGGGGGACGGAGAAGGCUAUGUUGGCCGGGCGACGGUUGUCCCGGUUUAAGCGUGUAGGUGUGUGUUCCAGGUAAAUCCGGUUCACUUUAACACUGAGGCGUGACGACGAGGCACUACGGUGCUGAAGCAACAAAUGCCCUGCUUCCAGGAAAAGCCUCUAAGCAUCAGGUAACAC
Molecule: ribosomal RNA, 1372 nt
Filed under: Salmonella enterica
Lineage: Bacteria; Pseudomonadati; Pseudomonadota; Gammaproteobacteria; Enterobacterales; Enterobacteriaceae
Description: partial 23S ribosomal RNA
Rfam family: Bacterial large subunit ribosomal RNA
Source: RNAcentral